This is a long non-coding RNA of Strigops habroptila (Kakapo), 16314 nucleotides long. RefSeq lists it as uncharacterized. The transcript has 7 exons. NCBI's taxonomy places the organism in Eukaryota, Metazoa, Chordata, Aves, Psittaciformes, Psittacidae. The record is from RefSeq and is a predicted model, not a curated record.
UUUGGGGGGUUUUUUUGCUUGUUUUGUUCUGUGCUCACAUCCCAUUGCUCCAAACAAAAUCAUGCAGCUGGAAGAAUGUGUGUGCUAUACAGAACUUUUGUUUCAGGUAAAAUACAUUCCUUAUUUACCAAGGUGCACGGAGAUUGUAACUUAAGAACUACAGCACUGUUACUCUUGCCCUCAGCUAUCUCCAUAUAUUCAUUCUGAACAGAAGAUAUGUAGGUGUAAGCUGAAUAGUAAAAGGAGAUUGGGGUUCUGCAUUUGGAAAUGUAGCCGGAUUCUGUAAAUCCUUCCUCCCUAGUUUAACCUUUGGAAUAGCACAUUUUCCUUAGACACAGCCACUUCAGUGUAAUGGGGUUCCUACAAGAAUCCAGAACUCUGAAGCGUCAUUGAGACAAAACGUCUGUUCUUCAUCCACAAGAUCACUGAACAAGUAACCCCUCUAACACUAUUCUAAUAAAUGUUUUACCUUCUAUCUGGUAUAAACGUGAACUACUGCUGAGUGAUAGCAAGAUCUCUGGACGAAGAUGACAAACAUGGAAGCUGAAAAAAUCCAAAAUCUGAGGUCUUUGUCCUAUAAAAGUGCAUAAUCAAUCAGGAGAAUCCCAGUAUUUUCCAAUGUUUGAAACUAAAGGCUUGGGUUUUAAAUACGGACAAGGACGAAAGACUUUCCAAAGAAAUCAGGACACUGAAACAAGAGUAAUAUAUACAACAUUUGUAGAACUAAUCUUGUGACCCUGUGAGCCCCUAGGAAUUGAUGAAAGAUAGGAAGGGUACCAGCCUGGGACAAAGGAUUCUAACUUUGUUAUUUGUAUUAAUAGUACGUCAAGUGUGGCCUCCCUGAAGAGGAUGAGCAGUCAAUACUUCCUGAUCAUAUUAACUCCACAGCACAUAUGAAGUGACUAAUGUGGUCUGGGAUGCUUCUCAGUGGACCUGCAAAUGGCGUGCACCGUUUUCUCAGCAUAAUAGAAGGAGACUCUGUGGGAAGAGCAUGAAAUGCAAGAGCAUCGUGGGAAAGACCAGAGUCACAAAUGACAUGGCUCCUCCCAGAAACCCAUCUGGAAAGUCUGAGAAGUGUUGCUAAGGAAACAGGCAUCACCUACCGUUAGGUCCACGGGUCUAGCAAUGCUUUUCUCAGGAAAAAUAGAACAACUACAAAACAGGAAUUGUCCUAUCUUCUGCAUGAGCCUAUUGCCCACAUCCUGCUGGAUCAAGCUAUAAUGUCCUACUUUCUGAUCCCUCCUGGGGAGGCCCAUGGAGCUCCAAACUCUGAAAGUUCAUAGGUGUUUCAAAGGUUAUUCCUCAAAUGCUCUCCUCUGGAAGCUCUGUAGUUGAAGAGACCAACAUCAGGAAGGAAAAUGAUUGCAGGAACAUCAGCUCAGCAAGAGAGGAAGAGGCAAAAGGGGCAGUGAAAAAGGGCAAGGAUGAUGACUGCUUACAUCUGUACUCCUGGAGAACUGCAGCACAGCUUAAGCAACAUGGAACAGCAGUAAGAUUCUUUUGAGAAAUAAUUAUUUUUAUUAGACCAGCGUAUAUAGCUGGAAAAAGCAGAGGAGCUUCCAGAGGCAGCGCUGCUUUAGCAGAUGAGGCAAAGCACAAAGCAGAACAAAACUGUCAUCAUGUAAACAUAACUGUGCUAACCUUGAACAAGGAAAGCACUCAGCGUUUAGGGAGCAGUGUGUUCGUGACAAGCCAGAUGACCAGUCACUGGUCCCUUUGAAAGGGGGAUAAACUGCAGUUAGCGACAGAAUGAUGCAGUAAUACGGAGCCAGUUUAUCUAAGUGAGGCCCCAAUUUUUAGCAUGCAGCAAACGUGCCUUAGUUACUGUCAGACAGCAAAACAACAGACAAAGCACUUUCUGAGCAAGUAUACUGGUUACCACAUGCUGUCACUAGCCAUACAAUUAGGCAACCAUUAAACACAAAGACACUAGCUCUAGUAUAGAAACUCACUGGUGGAUACAGCAGCAUCUUUAGAAGCUUCCCCUGGGCUUAUACUCUUCCAGUGGUACCUGCCAUUGGCCAAUCCUAGGAGACAGAUCACAGGGCUAGGUGGAUCCUCAUUUGGGACAUCAGUUCUUUCUCUGUCUCUCACCAAACACAGGCUCACACAGAUACAGAGAUGCUGUUUACAAUACACUAAUUUUGCUUCCAAAAAACGCACUUUUUAUAUUUGAAGACUGACAAGUUUAGGGUUAUGCUUUCAUUACAAGGGAACAAACCUAACUCAGACAAACCACACUGCCAUGUAUGAACCUCACUGCAGUUUUAUAAGCCAUAACUAGCAAUGUCACUGAAAAGGGUGCUCUCAUGUUGCCUACUUGUUCUCUAUUCCAUGCUUCAUCAUGUCUUUUGCCAUCUCAAGCAUUCAUACAGUCAUAAGUUGGGUCAGAGCUAAUCUCUUAGAAACAACCCACCCUCUAGUUGAUGUUACUACAUCCUGUUGAACUAGGGAUCCUCCUGGUAGCAGACAGACUCAAAGACGAGGAAGAAGCAGUUAGGGGUAUCGGAGGACUUUACUAGACACACAGACAGCUGUAUUUGUGCCAUCUGACAACCAGCUGGCACAUGGCCUAUCAGAUGCAAAGGUAGCAAUCUCACACGGCAUCUACACUGACUACUUGGUGAUUCAGCAAAGAAAACAGUAGUCCAUGGGAUCCAUGGUAGUAACAGCAGUGUAUGGAAACACAGCAUGGAUGCUCUGGAGUGUAAACUCAGGUCAUUGGGCAGAAGACUUACAUUCAGGAUUUUCAUGGUGUUACUUUCUCAAAUGUUGCCAGUUCCACAUGCAAGAGGGAGGCUGAGGUAGGAAGUCAGUGAUGCAGAGGGAAAAGAUUUAGGCAUGACAGGAACAGGAAGAACUUGUUAGGCAUGCACAUUAAUCAUGCCAGAGUCAAGCAGACCGCAUGCUAAUAAGAGUUCUGGAACUUACAAACACUUUACACAACUGCUAGAAGUUUCAGAAGUACCACAUGGGAAGUCCAAAUGCUUGGCCUCACCUGACACCUCAAAGGAACAAGCAUCUGCAAGGCUUGGUGGAUUACUCAGCAACUCCAACAGGAAUGACAAACAAUAGGUGGGGAACUGCCCUGUAUGUGAAGGACAUGUAAACGGCAUAAAGUAUUACAGGAGAAAAACCCAUCCUGCAUGACUGAAUGGGGAAGCUGAGGAGGGCAUCAGAGAGAGGCCAGCUUUUAAAGGCAGAAAGCUUGCCUAAUGAGAAGAGCUUGUAAAACACAUGGUUGGUCAGAAGUAAACAGUAAAUAAAUAACUCUGAAUGUUUUGGUAGCACCUUGCAAAGUUACUGAACUACAUCAAAAGCAGGAAACCAACUAGAAAAACCAGUGCGAUCUCUUGCAGACCAAGGUGAAGAAGGGAUACAGGGAUGACAGCACCAAUGUAGAGGAGCUCACUGAACGUUCUGUUCCCAGUGCUUACUGCUGAAGUAACUGGGGAGAUUUUCAGACCUACCUUCACAGUAUAUAGGUCAGAGGGACUGGGUCAAUUUGAAGUACAGAGGAGGCUUUAGGCUGAAUGGGUAAGUUAGAUGUACCUCACCCAGCGCAGGCAUUUACAGGACAGUGCCAAACCUCAAACAGGAGAACUGCUGGGCAGCAGGUCACCAGUGUAACUCCAGUGCACACAAAGACCCUAACGGGACUGGCACAACCGAAAAGCAAAUGUGAUUUCCACCCCUGCAGAGUAACACUGGAUCAGAUCACUGCACACACACAAGACUGCUAGAAAGAGUAUCCACAGCUUCCGCAAAAGGAAAUCCUACCAAGGGCACAACUCUUUUCCCAGCUUACAUACCCCUUUGAAUUUGGGGACUGAGCUGCUGGAUCCACUGAAUACCUGGGUUGAACACCGGAUGAUCUUAUGGAAGGGAUCAAUUGGGAUUAUUUGGGAAAAAAAUUGCAAGUGGAAUCUUCAGGCACCCAAAAGGGGCUCCAGACUUUGUGUGACAACCUGCCCAUUCCUCUGCUACAUACUGCAGGCUUCUGGCAAACUUCACCAUCUUAAAACCACAAUGCAAAGGUUUGCUGCACAUUGCAAUGUUUACAACCAUGUGCUUAAAAGCACUAUGAUGCAUCCAGAUGAACUCAACAGGGGAAAAAAAAUUCCCAUAACCUUGUUUAGCCUUAUGUUCCAGCCUGUAAACUUUGUUCUGAUGACUGGGGAGUUGGAUGUAGGGCAAACAACAGGCAAUACUGCUAACAGCAGGUACGCAAAAGGAAGUUUGUCAUAUGUGAUUGCUUUUUCUUCCAUAGCUUCUGCACAUACUCACAGGCACUCACCUACCUGCUGAUGGUGCUAAAAGCUGGGAAAGUCACUCAGGUGAGUACACACACACAGAAAUGUAAAAUUUGGGUUGCAACUCAAGUAUUUCUCUCCACUGUUACCUUUAGCACCACUGGAGACAACAGCAAGCUAAUGGUCUCAGCCAGGAGAGCGGGCACAUUCUCAGAGCACAAAACAAAUCCAGGUUAAAGCAACUUAAGCUGCAGUUCUUGGCAGCCUAAAAUUAAUAAUGCCUGCCCAGCCUGCAUGGAAGAGCCAGUCCCUUAAGCCAGCUCUGGCAUUUAGCAUGCUAAAAGACUCAGCAAAAAAAAGUCUUACAACUCAGCAGAAAAAAAUAACCUGACAAAAAGCAGUGGAGUAUCUGCUGCUGACUUAUCAAGCAGAAACAGCACAGCAGGCAUCCACCGAUCAAUGCCAGUAGUACAAGCAAGGGUGUGGGGCAUAGAAAUUAGGAUGGGUUUUUUGCCAUGGACACGUAGUCUCAUCAAAAAGUUGCAUUUAAAUCACAUUAGUUCCCCAAACCAGCAGACUUCAGUCACACCAUUAAUUAUGCCUGCAAUAGUUUUGGUAUGUGAGUGAUUGUGAAACUACAGUCUAGUUCUAUAAUGUCAUUCAAGUGGCUCACAGGAUACAAAUACACUGCAUAAGGUAGGCAGCUAUUAGACACUAACAGUACUAAAGGCAAACAAAAUCCUGGAAGACCUAGAGGUAACCUCAAGCAGAGACUGCAGUGUUUCCACAACAAAGCUUAAACAUUUCUUUCUAAAAUUAAAUAUUCUCUCAAACAGCACGAGAUACAAACAGUCUCUCAUAACCAUGUACAGAACACCUUCAGUAAGAUCCCUUCAGAUGUCAACACUGAAUUUCAAUACCCAUCCCAUCAGCCUGGGAACACUGGAAAAUAACCAAGGUGCAUUUUAAUUUUGAUGCGUUAAAAUCUGUGUGUUCACGUUUUGGUUUUCUUUACCAGACACCAUUUGAUGAAAGCAAAGAGCUAAUGACAUCUUCAAAUUCACUUUGAAAAUCACACAACAUUUCUGAAGCUGACAUGAAAUUACAACUACAUUGUGCACCAGCGAGAUAUAUAUAUAGAGAUUUCCAAAAGUAGUACCAGGAGUUCUCUAAAAAUACUGUAUGCUACAACUCUGUCACAAAAAUAUAUAGUAUAAAAUUGCUGGUUUUGUUAAACAUAGUUAUUUGGUUAACUACCAAAAAGCUCCCAGCUGCUCAGUAUCCAUGAGCAGAUCCCACACAACCACAAUUCAAUCAUUAUCCUGGGAAUUAACUGAAAUAAAACAGCUGUGGAGCACAUCACUGACCUAGAAGGCAAUAUUAUUUUGUUGUUAUUAAAUCUGUGUAUUGGUUAGUCAAUGAAGUUUCUAAAGGCCGAGCCACCGAAGAUGUAUCUUUAUUCCAGAAGACUAAAGAUUCAACCAUCCUACUGCCUCUUUAUUUUUAAAAUCGACACACUUACAGUGGUAGAUGGCUUUUAAAGGACUAUGAAAAGGACUAUAAAUUCCUUGCAAAUGACAGAGAGGUCUACGUGAUCCUUUCUGGAUUCUCAAUGCAGUGCUCUGAGAGGUGCCAGGCAUCUUACUUUAACCUCUUCCAAGGCAGAGGAAUUCAACAAUUGUCUCAUUCAUUGACCAGACUCCAGGUUGCAACUCUUGUUCACCAGACCUGACAGCUCAAGGUUGGCACUUGUUUUUCUUUCAGUAACCCAUUCUACUGAAAACUGAAGCAUGGAUUUACAUACUUGACUGUGCUCAGGUACAGGAACUGGUACAGCACCCACCCCAUCAACAGCACUCAGCUGUGUGCCAGAUCAUACACAUGAACAGGACAUGGAAGGUUCCACCUUAGCAGUUUACCUCAUGGCAUGAGGCCAAACUCUUCUUUGACCAUCAUUUCCAGUUAUAUCUCCUUGGAGGUUGCCGCUCCCUCAACUGCAUCCAAGCCCAAAACACAGGUAGUAGUGGCCAUCCUUCAGCUGAUGGGGGAAACCUCAGCUGAGGUGAGGGCAAACAGGACAACCACUAUUUCAAAACACUGAUAACCAAUAAAUACAUCAGCUGUGGGAGCAAUAGUCACCUACUAGUUCACUUUGCCGUGAACCCCAGGAAACCCCAGCUUUGCUUAAGAAGUUGUUCACAUCCCACAAGUUCAAACCCUAUCAAUUUGAAGUCUUCUAACAUCUCAAAGUAAACGUGGAAGCCCCAACUUCCCCAGAUACCUGAGGGUGAGCCUGCCAUUUCAGCCUCCCAUUACUCCCUUUCAUGGAAGCUGUGCUUCUAAACUGCCCCGUUUCUUUGCUGUCUUGAAUGGCUGUGCAAGCCAAAAUCCAUCUUGUUAGCUGGCUGAAGGCAAGUAGCAAAGUCUCCAAUAUCACUAGUUCAAAAACAAUUACUGCUUAACAAAUACUUUGUUUGCCAACUGAACUGCAGUUUCCUUGGGUUUGAUUUUGGCAAUCCUUUUUAUUAACAGCAAAGAUCCUGUGUUCAGAAAAGCGAUAUCUCCAUUCCCUGUUCAACAUGAACCAUUACUGAGUCACGGUUCAGUUCCAAUUCAGUGAAAAAUUAUUUAUACACAUAACAUUCUGCAAAUUCAUCACCUCCACAGAGCUCUGUUAUGGACCAAUGUUUGCCUUUAUUCAUCUCUACCUCGAGAAAGACAUAAAUCUUACCCAAGGCAAAAGCAGGGUGGAAAGAACAGUAAGUUUCUCUGCAAAGCAAAACAGUUUAUUAGAAAAAAAACCCCACUUACUAAGUAAUUCUGCUAGAGUGAGACAGGUCACAGAGAGCCAACAGGGGUAUCUCUGAACUCACACCAAAACAAAUAUUCUGCUUAAAAAGAAGUUAUUCCACUUUCUAUAAGAAGCUGCCUACAGAGAAUUCAUCUAACAGUCUUUAGAGAUAUUAAAUCUCAUCUAUCACCACUCUUCUCCAAUAAUAAUCUUUCCUUUAAAGAGAACAAAAAAGCAUCAGUGUCACAGUGUAAAAGACCUAUCCCUGUAUUCAGCUACAGAAGCUGUUAGUGACAGCCCUAAACUUCUACGUCAGAAGUAUCUGUGGAUCGUUACUACCUACCAAGAGGACAACAAUUUACCAACGGCUGCAAGCGUCAAAAAAAGAUGAAUUUUUAAGCCAGAAAUAAGCUGUCAGUAAUAUGAUAUAGAGAAGAUCUGUUUUGUGACAACAGCCUGGUAACUGGAGAUUUUCAAUGGAAAAACUAAUGUUUUCAUUCCUGAAAACUUCAUCACCAGAUUUCUCAAUUUAGAACAUAUUACCAAAGCAGAAGUCACUAAGGGACCAGGAUUAUUGCCAUCUAUCAGUCCCAUCCACGGGGGGACCAUGAGAAGGGAAAAAACCACACUGAUGCCUAAAUCCCAAAUCAACUAAAACUCAGAGAGAAUGAGGGACCUUUUACACUAUCAAAUCUACUAAGCUCACUACUAAAGGCAAUGCAUCAUCUAUUUCUUACCAUAAAGUGAUGAAUAUCUGUCUAAACUGUUUGAAUUCUUGCCCCCACUAAUCCUAUUAAAGGUUACUAUAAAGCCAUACUGUUCCAGUAAGUAGAAACCCUAUACUCUAAAUCUAAAACCUAUUCACAGGCAUUUUAUAUCCUUUUGUUCUUCUGGCAGUAUUGGCAUCUAGUUUAAACAGUUAAUUUCUACCCCUUUUCUAUUUUUACUGAUAAUUCCUCUUUAAAAUAGCCACUUGCCCUUUACAUAUCUAUAGCAUAAUAAAGACUAAGAAACAGAUGGCAGUCAAUACUGGUAAAACCACUAAGGAGAGAAACGAACUCCUGACUUACAGAAUCAGGUUUUAUUAACUCCUUAAGUACAUGAAGCUGCUCCAUAAAAUACUAGUUUUCAUCCCAUUUCUAACAGUAUAGCCCCUAAAGUAUUGCACUCAUGCCUGUACAGCAUUCUGAUCCUCCUCCCAACAUUGCCUCAUUAAAAUGUCAUUAAAAUCUACCCAUUACUGGUGGGGUGGGGUGGGUGGGGUGUCAGAGAGAAUUACUGAUAAAAGACAUCACUUCUGGCUCAAGACAUCCCAAACUGCAAGUUGCCGAGGACUAGAAAAACAUUCAGCAAAGUAUCAUUAUAUGGUCACGGCUUGUACCUUCCCUGCCACCCACCUUCUCUUUCUGCUCAUCUCCAUGUUUCAACACUCAGUAAAACAAGGAAUCUUUUUUAACUACAGAACCAGAGUUUACUGGCUCUAAGGGGGCAAUAAAUGGGUGACCAUACACCCUCCUCCCAGUUCUAAAGUGUUCAUUCAAGAAUGGUGUUCAUGUAACCAGGACAAACAGGAUGUCUAGAGCAGAAACAAUUAUACAGUAUGAUUUUGGAAGGUCUUGUCUUUGACUUGUGCUAGCAGACUUAAAGCUGUCUAAAUUAUUCUCAGAGAAAGGAUUCAGUGAACAGUAGCUAAAAAUACAAAGGAGGAUACUGUGACUAAGAGCACCCAAAUAGAGAAAACUAUUCCCCCCAAAAAAAUAAAUUCAUUGAAAAUUGUGACUUAUUUGAGAAGCAACAAUAGCCUUUGAAGGAUUCAAGCUAACAUGAAUACAACCAUGAUUCAUUUCAGAUAUAAUGGAUAACAGUUAAAAAAAUAAGUGUAUGCUUCCAAGUUGCCAAUUUAGGCAAAAAUACCCUGAGCUGAGUCUGGAGAGCUUCCAGUAAAGGGAAAGAACAAUCACAACAAUAGCCAAGUUCUCUCGCUACUAACUUAAAGUGGGUUGAGGCACCUUAUUUUUUUGAUUAAGGACACAAAGUAGAGAGAUUGAGGGUCUCAUUCAGGUUUGUCCACCAUCAUCACAAGGUCAGGAACAAAAGGCAAGUGUUCCAAACCUCACUGCAGUGAUUCGUCCACUAAGUCACACUUGCCUCCUCUAAAUAACUUGUGAACAGCGAAGUUGGACAGAACCUGCAAAGCCCUAGAAACACUUUGAGGUCCAAUGGCCAAUCAGUGUUUUUAUGGAAGAUUAUCUUUUUCUUUUUAGACCACCCAAUCACUUAAAAACAAAGAGAGGCCUUAUCUGUGGAACCAUCUGAAGACUGCUGAUCUCUCUGCAAUGGCCUCUUCUAAGAAGUUUGUGGGAUCUCCAAACACCCAUCCUUUAGCAUCAAAACGUCAGAGACCACUCUGGACUGCUCUAGUUUUCUCCUCCAGAGCAAUUUCCAUUAAGCAUUCUACAUAAAAUGACAGCCAAGAUAGUAUGCUUAUGUUGCCUAACUUUAGGAUGAAUGUCUGCAAGCCACACAUUUAGAUGACUACGCCUCAGAGGAAGAGUAAAUAUCUCACAUCUCCAAUUUGCAGCAUAUGGAUUUUUAAGAUGAAACCAUAUUUAAGCACGUCUCAAUGGCUUAGCACUUUUCCUUGGGGAGAAAAAAAAACCCCAACAAUCAAGAACAUUUUUUAAACCAAGACAAAAUUCCCGUGACUACUUCAGAAAUACUCAGACCUAUAGCCCCACAUUUCAAUUUAUGAGUUCUGACAGUCUCAAACAGGCUGCAAAAAUUUACAGAAGCCAUACAAGGAACCAUUCAAGAACAGCCCACUCAUUUAGCAGGGACAAAAGUUUCUCAUUUCCAACCACUUAACAGAAAACACACUGUAGCAGCAGAGUGCUCAUCCCUUCUUCUAUCUUCAUCUGUGUUAGAAAGCGCGAGCUGUCCAAGCACUGCAAACUGCAGUAAUUCAUCCUGUAUUCUAUUUAUCCUUCUUUACAACCCUUUAUUUUUAAUGCUUGGUUUUAUCCAGCAUUCCUUCCAAAUGAACAGCACCAGUCUUUACCUUCUUUCAACUUUUAUCCCCAGCACUUCACAGAUAUUAUGGCGGCAAGUAUCCCACAUGGGAUUUUUGCCACCUGCCUCUUCACUAUCUGUUUACUUUCCAGUUCCAGUUGAACUGAACCAGAGCCAGAAUUAUGCUGCUUUUUCUUAAGAAUGACUCUAAUCAUUAGAAUUUCACAUUCUAUCACCAUAUUAAUAGGGAUUAGUUUUAAUAUUCCAUUUCCAUUUGGUUCUUCAAAGCUUGGAUAACCACUUGCAUAACACUGUGCUUAAAGAACUUGCCUUCUAUCACUUGGCUUGCAGUUUUUCAUCCGGGCCAGCAGCUUGCUGAAGUUCUUCUCAUGUGUAAAGGAUACAUCAUUUGCAAUUACUCACCUCCCUUCAGGCACUGCAGCAGCCUUUGAAGAGGGCUUCCUUCCCCAGUGCUCCUUUUUCAACCAUCUCCUCAGCCUCCAAUACUCUCUCUGAAGAAAGAUUACUCAGAGGAAGGCUGGUGCAACACUUUCCUGACUGGCAUUCAUUGCCUCCUCCAUGUAGCAGUCAAAUUAAGUACCGAGGACCAGGAAUUAUUUUUUUCAGUCCUUAUAAGGGCUACAAGAAACCUCUACCUACACAUCACCUUCCCCAAGAGCCAAUCUUUUAGCACCUUUAUUUAUACAGUAAAGAAUUUCCUUGCAACUCGUUAUUCACUGGCAGCUGAACUUAUCCUUGUGCUCACUUACUGAGUAAGAAAAACAGUGUGCACCCAAUCCUUACAUUCUUACAGUCACACAGAAAGGGGGCUGGAAACCACCGCAUUUACUUAAUUGACCCACAUUGCUGCCCAUCAGUGGAUAAUUGCACGCUUUUUUCCACCUUUGCCAGUACACCUAAAAAUCAUGAACUCUGGAGCUUCAUCCACACAGUUCUUAUUUCUGUUCAAAAUGCCACAUGGAAAACAAGGAAAGUGAUUUAACUAUCUGGAAAGGAUGAAGCAAAAAUAAUUCUGAUGCUGAUUAGAAGAGGAUUAUGACAAGGAUCCUUCCCUCCCUCCUCUUCUGUUUCAAACAUAGACUCAAGUGCCACCCAGUAAAGCAGGCAGUGUUGCAGGUGCUGGAACCCAUCAUGUGCCAGCCAAGCCUGAAAAGGACACAUCUUUGCUGGCAAAGGGCAAAGGAUAAAUUACAGGAUACGUACAUCUAUGGCUCAUAUAUUACAAACGCCACAGCCACAGGCAGGACCUUGCCAAAAAUGCCACAGAGUUCAAGCUAAUGGGAAGAAGAGCAUAAAAUAAGAUUUUCUGUGGCAUUAAGGAUUAUGAGCACUCACCCCCUGUAACACAGAAAGGCAUGAGUGCUCUGGGAAGACAUAUAGAUCUCUAUAUGGCUGCUGUCCCAGUGACCUUGCCACAACUCAUCAAAGCUGCUCUGCAUUCCAUAAGAUGUUAUUCUCAUGAAAUGAGCACUUUAAUAUCCCAGGCUGAAAGUACUCCGUGUGGCAAAGCAAUAUCCACGUACUCACACCAAGCCCUACCUUCCAGGAAGCCAUCAAAGCCCAGGCAGAUCACCCAAAGUUAAAGCAUUUCCUAUAAAGCACAGGAACGUAUGUGUGUUAUAACGCCACAGCAAAAUAUGCGCAGAUAGGGGGGACAAGAGGAGUGAAGAAAGGUGACAAAUCCAACAACUAUCUAGCCGAAUGUUUAUGGCCAAUGGAGCAGGGGGGUAUCCCACUUAACAAAUGAAGCCCUUUACACUGAUCCCUUUUGCCAAGACCCCAGCUAUGAUAAUGAAGGGAUUUUUAAGAGGUCAUACAAGUAGCCUAGGAGAGAUACCUACUGUUGUUUACACAGCUGGACUGGGAACACCACAGCUUUUGGUCAGUCAGCAUAUACCAUAGCACUAACAGUAAGGAAACUGAGAUAAUAUAUCAGUCCAAGUUCAAAUUAUUAACUGUGCGCUAUCUGAAUGCAGCACUAGGACCGACUCAACAGCUACCUUCCCUUUUACAGCUACUGCACUCCCUACCGUGCUUUAUUAUUAAAGACAUGUUUUUGAGCAUGUGUGAAUUAACUGCAGCAGAGCUGCCCCAUCUUGUUAUUUAAAUGCAAAGUUUGCAAUGCUAAACCCAGUACCAAUAUAACACCCCACUCAAUAGGAGCAUAAACAUCAUAAAAAGGUCAAGCAUUUUCAUAAUGCUUUGCUAAUGAGGGUCAGGGCCUGACUGGACUUGUUUUGGCCUCCGGCCUAGCAACAGUUUCUGUAUUGGCCAAACUCUGAUGAGUCUGCUAUUAUUUCUAAAUCAUUUGCAUCUCUCCUGCCUUCCAUAGAGACUUACCACAGAAACGACCAGUCUACGGCUCAAACAGCUGCUGUGUUAGCACACUAGCAUGUCUGCUUCUGGAUACAAUCAUUUGAUGCUAUGGAAAACCUGCAGUUAACUAUAAACAAGUACUUAAUGUGAAGAUAGACAGCUUGGCAUACUGAGCUUGCUCCGUUCAUUAUGGCAUGAGCCUUGAGAGAAACAAACUAUGGACUAAAUAUAUUUCAUUCAUUGACUGGUCACAGCCUAGAUCUGUAAACUGAGCAAGCCAGUCUUCCAAGCUUUUAUUUCCUGGUUAUCUCUUAGUUGUCAACAACAGCAACUACUCCCUCUCUAUCUGGAGCUGCGCAGUUAACAGAUGUUUUGGGGUUUUAUUACAGAACUGUCUGUACUUUUAGAUGAAAUCUACUUGUUUCUUAACAAAUAUGACAAAAAAAUGCCAACAUUAGAUUUCUCUUGGUUUAGUAGUCAAUGUUAGAUAACAUUACAAAGGUGUCAUAAGAAACACCACAUUUAACUCACAGCUAGAUGUAUGCAUGAAGCAAGCCAAAUCCAGACCCAAGAUCUUUCUCACAGGCAGACAGGUUAAAUAGGGACAUGUAAUGCCAAAAACAAUGUCAAAAUUUCAAUUUGCAAAAUCCAUGGAAAUCUUUAUCGGGAAGAUCUCUUCAGUACAAGACAGAGUAAAAGAAAACAUGACAAAAGAUAGGAAUGUAACUAAACCAAAAAGAGGCAAUAAAAAUGAAGGACCAGACUGAUGGCACAGGUGGCUGCUCACCCUUCCUCACCCUACAAGGGGCAUGAGAACAAUUAACUUCUGGAAAACUAGUAUUGCAGUGAAUCAGAGCUUUUAUUGUGACUUUAUGGUGACUGCUCUUAGCUGAAGAAACAAAUCCAGGGUCCAUCCUUAAUACUGUCUGUGAUGCAAUCUCCUGUACUAAUAGAAACUACCUCGUUUGGACACAAGAACAGCUCACUACAAUGAGCUUAUGAAGGAAAAAAGCCCUUAAAUUAUAGCAAACCUAAUCUGGAGAUUAUCAUAGCAAUAUCUUCUCUAUUCACCAACCACACCAGGAGUUGAACCUACUGUCAAAGGCAAGUUCUUCUUGAAGCCACGCAGCUCUACCCCUUUUCCUCCUCUGCUCUACCAAGAUGCAUUCACCAGUCCUGCUGUCAGAGAUGCUGCGAAUUCCCUGCUGAGCGCUGCCAGCACCAGCCAAAAUACACACCUUCUACUGCACUGGAUUUUAAAAGAAACCUACUGCAGAAUGCCACUCAGACAACCACCACUUCAUGUUCCAAUACCCAAGAGUAAAGACUGUGCUAAGGCAGAAUACUGAAGCCUAUGCAAAACCACACAACACACGUAUAGAAACCAGAAUGAAGUCAGGCAGACACACAGACAUAAGAGAACACUUCCCUGUGUGCCUGUUUGUUACUGCAGUUUUUGUUUUGUGACUGGUGUUGAUCUUUAGCCAUGACCAAGCAAUCAUUAGAGCUGUUGUGUAAUGGUAGAGUGUGACGAUAAAUACAAAUUAUUGCACAGAGUCUGCCACACAACAGCGUAAGUCUCCACUGCCAUACAAGCAAGUCCUGCAGAGAAAUAACAAGAUUUCCAAUUUCUGACAGCAAGAAUAGCCGUGUCAAGAGGUACAGCUGAACACUGAGGGGGGAUUGCGGAGGAAGAACGUUGGGGUUUUAAGACAAAAUGAAAUUCAUUCUUUGGUAAGCUUCCAGGCAACAUUCCACAAAAAUGCUUGCAAAGAACCAUACACCAAGGCAAGCGAGGAGUCAAGCACAAGGCUCCAACUUUAAACAUUGCAGUAAGUUGUAGAGACUAAAACAGGAAGUCAGGCUGCAGCCAAGAAACAAGAAACUGAGGAAAGCAUGUAAUCCUAUCAACUGGCAAGCCAUAACAUUUUUAUUUACAUGUAUGUGUAAGCAUAUGUACAGACAAGCCUAAUUCUUCUUCAGUGCCUUAAAACAAAGCAUCAGACAGUAACAUAACAUUUUGGGGAAAAAAAAAAGUCAGCUUUGGGACUGUAUGGGAAGAUUUAAAACUAUUUCCAUCUAAAUUACUGCCAAAUCACACCCACUAGUGCCAACAUAGUUUCAAGAUAUGGUAACUAAGGCAUACAAUUGGAUGGCCAGUAACAAACCAUUUUUUCACGACAGGGUGAAGUUACACUCAUGCUGAGCAGGAUCACAACUUUCUUUGAGAGCGUGAAAAUGAAUGGGCACAAGGAUGAAGCCCAGCUUCAAAGACAACAUCACAUCUUUGUGAGCCAGUUAUCGAUAAGACUGCCUGUGAACCUUUUGAAUGCUGGAAGCCCCGCUGCCUCUGAACAGGAGCAACUCACUCACCAACCUCCAAUUCUACACGUAACACUGAGCAACUUUUUCAAAGUUGCUUCCCCAACUGCACAAACAUAAUCAGCUCACAAGGCUGCUGAAAGCAGCAGUUCUGCCAUCUGUCUGCUUAUUCCCACCGCACACUUGUGCGGGCACAAGUAUUUGUGAAGCCAUGUAACGAUCCAGAGGGAAUGAGAAAACUAACCAGGGAAAAAAAUAAACCCACGAUUAGCUCAUUUCUCAAUCUGUACAACUGUGCAUGCUGGCACGAGCAUGGCAAUGAGCAGAAAUGGUAUCACUGAUUUUAUUAAUGGAGGUGCCAUUUUCAGCAGUCCAUUGACACAGCAACUAAAUCUGAGAAACACUUCAGCACACAUAUGAAUUUUAGGAAAGUAGAAAUAAUUUUAAUUGAUUCACUCUUGUGUUCUUGUUAAAGUAAGAAGUGGAAGAAGAAAGGUGAAGCAAUCCACUGGUUACUGAGAGGAAUCAAAGUUCUUACUGGAAAACAUUUCAGUGGUGAGAUCUUCACCCCUGCCUCAGUUUCCUCCACUUAUAAAACACAGGCGGCAGCACUAAAGUGUUCAACAAAACAUUCUGCAGUACAAUAAAAAGACAUAACAUUGUAGCAGAGAGAAUUCACCUCUCUUACAGCAAUGAAAAAGUGAAAUGGUACAAAGCUGAUGCUGUAACCUAUAGCUCUGGGAUGGAGAACACACACAGGACAAUGCAAAGCAAAAUGGCUACUCAGAGCAGCAGCUCCUCAGCACCUGGUAUCUACAACAGGACAGACAGGGAUGUACAAAAGACCCGGGGAAAGAAACUCACAGCGGAGCCUCCCUGCCCUCCUUUCAUUAUUGGUACUUUGAUGGAAUCACAUAGGAGUUAUGAAGAACGUAUAGGGAAGACUUGCUGGAGUGGCAGGUUAAAGUAGGAAUCCACAGAGCUGGGUUGUCAUGACAGCAGCUGAAAGUAUGCAAGAGAUGUAUAGAUCCUGGGUGUUAGAGAACAGCACGGACUCCAAAUAAGAUCUUCAAUAUAUUACAUUAUUUUAAACACUAAGAAGCAUACACCACAUGUCACUAAUGAAACACAGGCUGCCUGAUAACCAUUUGCAUUGGUGCGUGAGGGAAGAGGACAGACACAAAAACCCAUGUGUUCAUUAAGUACUGAUGAAGCACGGGUUCUCCCAGAAUCAACAGUGAUGCUGCACAUGAGAAGAAACAAGCGACAUGCACUCUGGUGGACCAACACACUCAAGUCUCAACUGAAGCUUGGAAACUCACCACAUGAGCUCCACCCCAUUUAAAAGCAAAGUAAAACAGCAGAAACUUAAUUUCAACAACCUCUUACAUUAACUGUGCAUUCAAACAGCCUUGGAGCAUGCAGCGACUCGGCAACUUGUCCCGGCUGAGAGGAAGUAACUUCCUGUCAGAGAGAAGUUAUUCCCUGAAGUGUCUGAGCUCUGUGUGCAGCAGCACACCCGGAUCCCCGGCGCAGGCAGGCUGCAGGUGCCGACAUGCUGGACAACAGUGUCCUGGCGGGUCAAUUCCAAAGGCAGAAGGA